CACCACACAAUAUACGUCGCUAGCUCAGACGUCUCUGGGCCCCCGUACUCAUCCAAUAUGCGUCGCUAGCUCAAAUGUUUCUGUGCCCCGGCACUCUAUACGUCGCUAGCUCAGAUUUCUCUUGGCCCCCGUACUCAUAUGCGUCGCUAGCCCAGAUCUCUCUUGCCCCUGCACUCAUCACACAAUCCCUACUAUUUAACUAUGUAUAUAUAUAUAUAUAUAUGUACAUCAUCAUUUCUUAACAUCACACAAUCCAAUCAACGGUUGAAUCAUCUAGACCCCUAGUUCCAGUUUACAAUGAAUGAGCUAACUAACAAUCAAGACUCAAACAGACUCAAUUCAAACAGACGGAUCAUGUUUCGAAAUCUAAACUACUAUAGGGAGAAUUCUACAGUGGUACCGGAUUUACGGAAUAGAUCCUCACCUUUGUCACUGGCUGGAAUGAUCGACGGGAGAUGGUCAACUGCAACACGAGAGUCAACGAAUUAGGCUCAGAUUCUCAGAAAAUAAAGUUUCCAAAAAUGGAAAGUUUCCUAAAAUAGAAAUGUUCCUAAAAUAGCAACUUUCCUAAAAUAGAAACUUCCCUAAUAUAAUUUAUUUCCUAAAUUAGAAACUUUCCUAAAAUAUUCCUAUAACUAGAAAUAAGGAGGCGACAAACUUACUAGAAAAGCCCACCGGAAGCUCGUCCAGAAGUCCCGCCGGAAGCUCGUCCAGAAGUC
This 719-nucleotide long non-coding RNA is filed under the name Brassica napus (rape). RNAcentral describes it as "long non-coding RNA (BNAP_LNC022251)". The record is from RNAcentral. Lineage: Eukaryota; Viridiplantae; Streptophyta; Magnoliopsida; Brassicales; Brassicaceae.